This is a non-coding RNA of Vibrio hepatarius, 37 nucleotides long. Lineage: Bacteria; Pseudomonadati; Pseudomonadota; Gammaproteobacteria; Vibrionales; Vibrionaceae. The record is from Rfam.
UAGCGCAUUGGGAGCUUUACCCAAGGGCGGUAGCGUA